AGUGAACGCUGGCGGUAGGCCUAACACAUGCAAGUCGAACGGCAGCACAGUAAGAGCUUGCUCUUACGGGUGGCGAGUGGCGGACGGGUGAGGAGUACAUCGGAAUCUACUUUUUCGUGGGGGAUAACGUAGGGAAACUUACGCUAAUACCGCAUACGACCUACGGGUGAAAGCAGGGGAUCUUCGGACCUUGCGCGAUUGAAUGAGCCGAUGUCGGAUUAGCUAGUUGGCGGGGUAAAGGCCCACCAAGGCGACGAUCCGUAGCUGGUCUGAGAGGAUGAUCAGCCACACUGGACCUGAGACACGGUCCAGACUCCUACGGGAGGCAGCAGUGGGGAAUAUUGGACAAGGGGCGCAAGCCUGAUCCAGCCAUACCGCGUGGGUGAAGAAGGCCUUCGGGUUGUAAAGCCCUUUUGUUGGGAAAGAAAAGCAGCAGGUUAAUACCCCGCUGUUCUGACGGUACCCAAAGAAUAAGCACCGGCUAACUUCGU
This 491-nucleotide ribosomal RNA is filed under the name uncultured bacterium. RNAcentral describes it as "partial 16S ribosomal RNA". It matches the Rfam family "Bacterial small subunit ribosomal RNA", at positions 29 to 506 of the family's 1533-position model. The record is from RNAcentral.